GAUAGAAAAAUAGUAGUACGGUCAAAUAAACAAACGUUCUUAUUUUUACUAUGCCAUAAAAUAGUUACCAUGACCACGAAUAUGGUAAUGUGUAUAAAAAUAUCGUGACGACUACCACAAACUGUUAAUAAUUCCAAUAGUGAUAAUUACCAUGAAACAUAGUUCAUAAGAAUGUUUUGGAAGACUCCAUUUUUUGCUGCAGCUUCCGAAGCACCUAAAUUUUUGCCGCUAUAUAUUUUUAUUAUGAAUAUUCACCGUUGCUUUACCAUAGUUUUUUGAAGCGAAACUGCCUUGGUGUUGUAACGAACUCACGCCUCUAAGCACGAAACCAUAUCGGAGUGCAUCGGCGGAAUCUACCCCACGCUGGCCGAGUCACUGAGAACAUUCAACCCGAAGGAUGGUUCCAUGGCGGCCGCAAAUGGUUUUAGGAAAACGAUCUAUAAUUACGAAGUUAUCCACGCCACUGACAUUCCGGCCGCUUUUCAAGACAUGGGGCCAACCUGAACUGGAAGGUCAUCGAUGCGUACGCCUACCUGAUUCGGAAUGAAAUCCCCCAGCAGCUGGGCGAAAAACCAAUGCUAGCUGACCCGUUCCCUGUCCAUCGAGAAUGACGGCAUAAAUAUCCAUUGCAUCGCCGUUGGUCAAGCCGUAGCUGUCCAGGUAAUGAGGUUCGAUCCCAACCAACGAAUAUUGCUCGACCGAUCUCUUCAGCAGGAAAUCAGCUAUUAUUCACCGAAGAACAUACUUGCUGGCGGCAACAUCGAUAUAGUUAUAAUUAACGAUGUAAUUACAUAUCUACACCUGAGGAAUUAAAAUAAAACACCAAAA
RNAcentral lists this long non-coding RNA (828 nucleotides) under Aedes aegypti (yellow fever mosquito). Its description in RNAcentral is "lncRNA AAEL025159". Lineage: Eukaryota; Metazoa; Arthropoda; Insecta; Diptera; Culicidae. The record is from RNAcentral.